AAAUAGAUACCCGGGGAAGUCCACGCCGUAAAACGAUGAGUGCUAAGUGUUAGAGGGUUUCCGCCCUUUAGUGCUGCAGCUAACGCAUUAAGCACUCCGCCUGGGGAGUACGACCGCAAGGCUGAAACUCAAAGGAAUUGACGGGGGGCCCGCACAAGCGGUGGAGCAUGUGGUUUAAUUCGAAGCAACGCGAAGAACCUUACCAGGUCUUGACAUCCUCUGCCAACCCUAGAGAUAGGGCGUUCCCCUUCGGGGGACAGAGUGACAGGUGGUGCAUGGUUGUCGUCAGCUCGUGUCGUGAGAUGUUGGGUUAAGUCCCGCAACGAGCGCAACCCUUGAUCUUAGUUGCCAGCAUUCAGGUUGGGCACUCUAAGGUGACUGCCGGUGACAAACCGGAGGAAGGUGGGGAUGACGUCAAAUCAUCAUCGUCCCCUUAUGACCGUGGGCCUACACACGUGCUACAAUGGAUGGUAACAAGAGUUGCGAACCGCGAGGGUAAGCCAAUCUCAAUAAACGCCAUUCUCAGUUCGGAUUGUAGGCUGACC
RNAcentral lists this ribosomal RNA (545 nucleotides) under uncultured bacterium. RNAcentral describes it as "bacterial SSU rRNA". It matches the Rfam family "Bacterial small subunit ribosomal RNA", at positions 776 to 1310 of the family's 1533-position model. The record is from RNAcentral.